UGCCUCAAAUGGAAAAGAGCAGCAGGUUUGGGUGGUGGCAGGGGACAAAGGUGGACUCAGGCAGGAGGUGGAAAGUGAAGUAAAUGAACUCUGGGGUGGUGUCUUCCAACUGUCACUUCCAACUCUCCUGUGUUUGUAGACUCUGUGUUCCUAAACAAGGGAAAAUACAGCCACAACCUCCAACGGAC
RNAcentral lists this long non-coding RNA (188 nucleotides) under Pongo abelii (Sumatran orangutan). Its description in RNAcentral is "lincRNA". The record is from RNAcentral. Lineage: Eukaryota; Metazoa; Chordata; Mammalia; Primates; Hominidae.